CGGGACGUAGCGCAGCCUGGUUAGCGCACUUGACUGGGGGUCAAGGGGUCGGAAGUUCAAAUCUUCUCGUCCCGACCA
RNAcentral lists this transfer RNA (78 nucleotides) under Nitrospina sp. RNAcentral's name for it is "tRNA-Pro". It matches the Rfam family "tRNA". From Rfam's summary of the family: Transfer RNA (tRNA) molecules are approximately 80 nucleotides in length. Their secondary structure includes four short double-helical elements and three loops (D, anti-codon, and T loops). Further hydrogen bonds mediate the characteristic L-shaped molecular structure. tRNAs have two regions of fundamental functional importance: the anti-codon, which is responsible for specific mRNA codon recognition, and the 3' end, to which the tRNAs corresponding amino acid is attached (by aminoacyl-tRNA synthetases). tRNAs cope with the degeneracy of the genetic code in two manners: having more than one tRNA (with a specific anti-codon) for a particular amino acid; and 'wobble' base-pairing, i.e. permitting non-standard base-pairing at the 3rd anti-codon position. RNAcentral also lists the same sequence under 2 other names. Lineage: Bacteria; Pseudomonadati; Nitrospinota; Nitrospinia; Nitrospinales; Nitrospinaceae. The record is from RNAcentral.